AAGGUAGGUGUCCUGAUAAGUGGGAAGUGAAAUCCUGCGGCUCAACCGCAGAAUUGCUUUUCAAACUAUCAGGAUUGAGUGCGAAAGAGGAAAGCGGAAUUCUCGGUGUAAGGGUGAAAUCUGUUGAUAUCGAGAGGAACACCAGCAGCGAAGGCGGCUUUCUGGUUCGCAACUGACACUGAGCUUCGAAAGCUAGGGGAGCGAACAGGAUUAGAUACCCUGGUAGUCC
This 229-nucleotide ribosomal RNA is filed under the name uncultured bacterium. Its description in RNAcentral is "partial 16S ribosomal RNA". It matches the Rfam family "Bacterial small subunit ribosomal RNA", at positions 568 to 796 of the family's 1533-position model. The record is from RNAcentral.